GAUGAACGCUGGCGGCGUGCCUAAUACAUGCAAGUCGAGCGAAUGGAUUAAGAGCUUGCUCUUAUGAAGUUAGCGGCGGACGGGUGAGUAACACGUGGGUAACCUGCCCAUAAGACUGGGAUAACUCCGGGAAACCGGGGCUAAUACCGGAUAACAUUUUGAACCGCAUGGUUCGAAAUUGAAAGGCCGCUUCGGCUGUCACCUAUGGAUGGACCCGAGACGCAUUAGCUAGUUGGUGAGGUAACGGCGCACCAAGGCAACGAUGCGUAGCCGACCUGAGAGGGUGAUCGGCCACACUGGGACUGAGACACGGCCCAGACUCCUACGGGAGGCAGCAGUAGGGAAUCUUCCGCAAUGGACGAAAGUCUGACGGAGCAACGCCGCGUGAGUGAUGAAGGCUUUCGGGUCGUAAAACUCUGUUGUUAGGGAAGAACAAGUGCUAGUUGAAUAAGCUGGCACCUUGACGGUACCUAACCAGAAAGCCACGGCUAACUGCGUGCCAGCCGCCGCAGUAA
Molecule: ribosomal RNA, 515 nt
Filed under: uncultured bacterium
Lineage: Bacteria
Description: partial 16S ribosomal RNA
Rfam family: Bacterial small subunit ribosomal RNA
Source: RNAcentral